RNAcentral lists this ribosomal RNA (949 nucleotides) under formicidae sp. 02 JHY-2013. RNAcentral describes it as "SSU rRNA". It matches the Rfam family "Eukaryotic small subunit ribosomal RNA", at positions 44 to 923 of the family's 1831-position model. The record is from RNAcentral. Lineage: Eukaryota; Metazoa; Arthropoda; Insecta; Hymenoptera; Formicidae.
AUUAGCCAUGCAUGUCUCAGUGCAUGCCGAAUUAAGGUGAAACCGCGAAUGGCUCAUUAAAUCAGUUAUGGUUCAUUAGAUUGUACCCACAUUUACUUGGAUAACUGUGGUAAUUCUAGAGCUAAUACAUGCAAAACAGAGUCCCGACCAGUGAUGGAAGGGACGCUUUUAUUAGAUCAAAACCAAUCGGUGGCGGGCGGUUCGCCGUUCGUCCACCGUUUAUUUUGGUGACUCUGAAUAACUUUGUGCUGAUCGCACGGUCCUAGCACCGGCGACGCAUCUUUCAAAUGUCUGCCUUAUCAACUGUCGAUGGUAGGUUCUGCGCCUACCAUGGUUGUAACGGGUAACGGGGAAUCAGGGUUCGAUUCCGGAGAGGGAGCCUGAGAAACGGCUACCACAUCCAAGGAAGGCAGCAGGCGCGCAAAUUACCCACUCCCGGCACGGGGAGGUAGUGACGAAAAAUAACGAUACGGGACUCAUCCGAGGCCCCGUAAUCGGAAUGAGUACACUUUAAAUCCUUUAACGAGGAUCCAUUGGAGGGCAAGUCUGGUGCCAGCAGCCGCGGUAAUUCCAGCUCCAAUAGCGUAUAUUAAAGUUGUUGCGGUUAAAAAGCUCGUAGUUGAAUCUGUGUCGCACACCGUCGGUUCACCGCUCGCGGUGUUUAACUGGCGUGAUGUGGGACGUCCUACCGGUGGGCUUAGCCUCGCGAGGGGCGGCCCAACUAAUAUCCCGUCGCGGUGCUCUUUACUGAGUGUCGAGUCGGGCCGGUACGUUUACUUUGAACAAAUUAGAGUGCUUAAAGCAGGCUACCUUCGCCUGAAUACUGCGUGCAUGGAAUAAUGGAAUAGGACCUCGGUUCUAUUUUGUUGGUUUUCGGAACCCCGAGGUAAUGAUUAAUAGGGACAGAUGGGGGGCAUUCGUAUUGCGACGUUAGAGGUGAAAUUCUUUG